UCCUACGGGACGCAGCAGUGGGGAAUUUUGGACAAUGGGCGCAAGCCUGAUCCAGCUAUUCCGCGUGUGGGAUGAAGGCCCUCGGGUUGUAAACCACUUUUGUAGAGAACGAAAAGACACCUUCGAAUAAAGGGUGUUGCUGACGGUACUCUAAGAAUAAGCACCGGCUAACUACGUGCCAGCAGCCGCGGUAAUACGUAGGGUGCGAGCGUUAUCCGGAUUUAUUGGGUUUAAAGGGUGCGCAGGCGGCGAGUUAAGUCAGCGGUAAAAUUGCGGGGCUCAACCCCGUCGAGCCGUUGAAACUG
This 305-nucleotide ribosomal RNA is filed under the name uncultured bacterium. RNAcentral's name for it is "bacterial SSU rRNA". It matches the Rfam family "Bacterial small subunit ribosomal RNA", at positions 337 to 635 of the family's 1533-position model. The record is from RNAcentral.